AUUGAUUUUAUGCUUGCAUAAAUGAUUUUUGGAUUCGGAGCGAGUGGCGAACUGGUGAGUAACACGUGGGUAACCUGCCCCGAAGCGGGGGAUAACAUUUGGAAACAAGUGCUAAUACCGCAUAAUUAGUUGGAACCGCAUGGUUCCAACUUGAAAGAUGGCUCUGCUAUCACUUUGGGAUGGACCCGCGCCGUAUUAGUUAGUUGGUGAGAUAAAAGCCCACCAAGACGAUGAUACGUAGCCGACCUGAGAGGGUAAUCGGCCACAUUGGGACUGAGACACGGCCCAGACUCCUACGGGAGGCAGCAGUAGGGAAUCUUCCACAAUGGACGAAAGUCUGAUGGAGCAACGCCGCGUGAGUGAUGAAGGUUUUCGGAUCGUAAAACUCUGUUGUUAAAGAAGAACAAGUGUUAGAGUAACUGUUAACACUUUGACGGUAUUUAACCAGAAAGCCACGGCUAACUACGUGCCAGCAGCCGCGGUAAUACGCAGGUGGCAAGCGUUGUCCGGAUUUAUUGGGCGUAAAGCGAGCGCAGGCGGUUUUGUAAGUCUGCUGUGAAAGCCCUCAGCUCAACUGAGGAAGUGCAGUGGAAACUACAAAACUUGAGUACAGAAGAGGAAAGUGGAACUCCAUGUGUAGCGGUGAAAUGCGUAGAUAUAUGGAAGAACACCAGUGGCGAAGGCGGCUUUCUGGUCUGUUACUGACGCUGAGGCUCGAAAGCAUGGGUAGCGAACAGGAUUAGAUACCCUGGUAGUCCAUGCCGUAAACGAUGAAUACUAGGUGUUGGAGGGUUUCCGCCCUUCAGUGCCGCAGCUAACGCAUUAAGUAUUCCGCCUGGGGAGUACGACCGCAAGGUUGAAACUCAAAGGAAUUGACGGGGGCCCGCACAAGUGGUGGAGCAUGUGGUUUAAUUCGAUGCUACGCGAAGAACCUUACCAGCUCUUGACAUCUUCUGCCAACCCAAGAGAUUGGGCGUUCCCUUCGGGGACAGAAUGACAGGUGGUGCAUGGUUGUCGUCAGCUCGUGUCGUGAGAUGUUGGGUUAAGUCCCGCAACGAGCGCAACCCUUAUUAUUAGUUGCCAGCAUUUAGUUGGGCACUCUAGUGAGACUGCCGGUGAUAAA
RNAcentral lists this ribosomal RNA (1123 nucleotides) under uncultured bacterium. RNAcentral's name for it is "bacterial SSU rRNA". It matches the Rfam family "Bacterial small subunit ribosomal RNA", at positions 47 to 1162 of the family's 1533-position model. The record is from RNAcentral.